AAGAUUAUUUUUUUGGAUUAAUUUUUUUACUAAUCAAAUCUAGUAAAAAUUAUUUUUCUUUGCAAUCAUUUUUUUAGAUAAAUGAUUCCUAUGAAUCAUCAGAUUACCCAUACCCCAACCAAAUAAAUUUUUAAACAAAAGCGAUCCAAAAGGAUCGUUAGAAUCUUUAGACUUACUGUGGGCCAUUUUGGUUAUUACGGAUGGAACU
This 208-nucleotide long non-coding RNA is filed under the name Elaeis guineensis (African oil palm). RNAcentral describes it as "long non-coding RNA (EGUI_LNC004452)". Lineage: Eukaryota; Viridiplantae; Streptophyta; Magnoliopsida; Arecales; Arecaceae. The record is from RNAcentral.